AACGAAACUUAGUUUAAUAAGGCAACAAUAGUGCAAAUCGGAGUGCAGAGUCCAACGUGACUGUAACAACAGUAGUAUGAGUUUGUAUAGUACAUUAAGACAAGUACUACAAUGCAUUGGAAAUACAAUGUUGA
This is a long non-coding RNA of Etheostoma cragini (Arkansas darter), 134 nucleotides long. RefSeq lists it as uncharacterized. The transcript has 3 exons. The record is from RefSeq and is a predicted model, not a curated record. Lineage: Eukaryota; Metazoa; Chordata; Actinopteri; Perciformes; Percidae.